GAAGCGAACGGAACUCUUCGGAGGGAAGUUCGUGGAACGAGCGGCGGACGGGUGAGUAACACGUAGGCAACCUGCCUGUAAGACUGGGAUAACUCGCGGAAACGCGAGCUAAUACCGGAUAACACUUUCUAUCACCUGAUGGAAAGUUGAAAGGCGGCUUUUGCUGUCACUUACAGAUGGGCCUGCGGCGCAUUAGCUAGUUGGUGAGGUAACGGCUCACCAAGGCGACGAUGCGUAGCCGACCUGAGAGGGUGAUCGGCCACACUGGGACUGAGACACGGCCCAGACUCCUACGGGAGGCAGCAGUAGGGAAUCUUCCGCAAUGGACGAAAGUCUGACGGAGCAACGCCGCGUGAGUGAUGAAGGUUUUCGGAUCGUAAAACUCUGUUGUCAGGGAAGAACAAGUACGAUAGUAACUGAUCGUACCUUGACGGUACCUGACCAGAAAGCCACGGCUAACUACGUGCCAGCAGCCGCGGUAAUACGUAGGUGGCAAGCGUUGUCCGGAAUUAUUGGGCGUAAAGCGCUCGCAGGCGGUUCUUUAAGUCUGAUGUGAAAUCUUGCGGCUCAACCGCAAACGUGCAUUGGAAACUGGAGGACUUGAGUGCAGAAGAGGAGAGUGGAAUUCCACGUGUAGCGGUGAAAUGCGUAGAGAUGUGGAGGAACACCAGUGGCGAAGGCGACUCUCUGGUCUGUAACUGACGCUGAGGAGCGAAAGCGUGGGGAGCGAACAGGAUUAGAUACCCUGGUAGUCCACGCCGUAAACGAUGAGUGCUAGGUGUUAGGGGGUUUCCGCCCCUUAGUGCUGAAGUUA
RNAcentral lists this ribosomal RNA (814 nucleotides) under Oceanobacillus oncorhynchi subsp. incaldanensis. RNAcentral's name for it is "bacterial SSU rRNA". It matches the Rfam family "Bacterial small subunit ribosomal RNA", at positions 59 to 854 of the family's 1533-position model. The record is from RNAcentral. RNAcentral also lists the same sequence under 1 other name. Lineage: Bacteria; Bacillati; Bacillota; Bacilli; Caryophanales; Bacillaceae.